CUGAGGGAGAGCUGAGGGCAGCUGGAGCGCCCGGGACGCUGCCCUGUGAGGCCCCCGAGGUGCCAGCCUGCUCUCUACACACGGCUCGGCUUGGAGGAGGCCCAAGGCCAUCCCGACCCUCUCAUCUGCCUGGCGACAUCCCGUUCUGCAAGACUCAAGGCUGCCACCGCCUCCUGCAGACAGCCUUCCUGGAUUGCUUGCCCAGGCCGAGGAGUCUCUGAAAGGGAAAGCAGCCCAAGGGCACAGAUGGCCCUACGAGACAGGGACCAAGGAGACAAGCUGAGGGCAGCCAGCAGCGGGGCAGGCUGACGAUGGCCCUCAUGGCAGACCUAGGCCUGACCAACCAACGUCAGAAGAGAACCUUCCAGAAGGGGAGACAGCGACCAAGAGCCCAGGGCAGAGGCAUAAGCAACUUGAGAAAAAGGCCAACGAUGGAGAAGGCUGGAUCCCACGAGCAGGGACGGGCACUGAGAGGGAGAAGCCGUCCGAGAUGCUCCUGGAGACCAGUGGUUCCUGUCGCCUUGCUUUGUGUUUCGUCCUUGCGUCCUCGCUGUCUCCAGAGGCUGAAUGUCUGAGAGCCGCUGGGGCCGGAGUGGGGCCGGAACGUGGGUCUCCUCCCUCGUCCCCACCUUGGCGUCACGGCUCCCCGUGGGCAGGGCCGCAGGAGUCCAGGAGGACAGCCCCACCGGGGGUAGCCACGCGGAGGAACGGGAGGCAGUGCCGACCUCCUCUUUCCUCCCAGGGCUGCGGGCACCCCCUGCACACCCACCGCCCUUGGGGGGCCUCAGACUCCAGAGGGGCCAGGCCGGCCCCAGAGGGCACAUGCGUGCUCAGCGUGGUGUCCGGCCCUGCAGCCACCAGGGCUCUGCAGGGCGAGCUGCUCCCAGCUGCUCCCUGCUGUCUCUCCAGGACGUCACCCCUUGCUCCUGGGUCCCAAGCCUUCUGCCCCUGCACCGCUACCCAGAAGCCACACUCGGGAGCCAGAGCCACAGAGGACCUUCCUGGGUGCCAGGCACACAGCCCUCAGACCCCCGCUGGCCCGUGGGCUGCAGGUCCCCUGAUCUUCUUGGGUCCACUGCCCUCCCCCGGACCCUGUGGUGCUGCUUGCUGACUAGCCACUGGGAGCGCCCUGCCCCUUAGACAGCUGGCCUCAGGACUGAGAUGGGGCCUCAGGCAGCCAGCCCUGUCUCACCUUUGCCCCUGGAUGCUGGCUGUAGGCCCAAGACCCACACCUCCCAGGUGGGCCUUCUCUCUCCCCCAGGCCUCUGCGUGGCCCUGUCCUGUCUCCCUCUCUCCCUAUGGACCUGGGGCACGGCCUGGAGGCCAGUCUGGGGAGGCCUGGGGAGGAGGACGUGGGCAAGCAGAACAUGCAAGGUUUGUGUAUGGGAAGCCACCGGGUCCCUGGGUGGCCUGGGGCAGCAGCAGCCAGUGGCCAUCAGGGACUUGGGGACACAGGCUUUGUGAACCAGAGCCAGAGUGUGGCCUUAGCCUGAAGGUGGGGAGCCAUUAAGUGGUUAAAGCUGUUUUUCUGGUCAUAAAUGUGCACACUCUUGUCAACUUCAAAAAAGCAGAAAGAAGAGAAGUCCCGUGUGGGUGUCUGGUGGGGCCGCUGCCUCCCUCAGUAUUCUCCCAUCGCCCGUGAAUUCCCGGAAUUCCUUCUCAAUCUCCUUUCUGGCUGGGUGCGGUCCAGAGCCCAGCACUUCUCUGAGUCCUGCCCCGUGGUCUCCAGCCUCAGGUCCUAGCCAGCCCUCUUAGCGGGCCCGUGGCCUUCUGAGAGCCCACUGCCUGUGGCCAGCCAGCCAGGGUCCUGGGUGGGGGCUGCCCCUGCCCCCGAGACACGGCUCCUCCCAGCAGCAGCC
Long non-coding RNA from Equus caballus (horse), 1859 nucleotides. Lineage: Eukaryota; Metazoa; Chordata; Mammalia; Perissodactyla; Equidae. The record is from Ensembl.